RNAcentral lists this long non-coding RNA (2576 nucleotides) under Mytilus galloprovincialis (Mediterranean mussel). Lineage: Eukaryota; Metazoa; Mollusca; Bivalvia; Mytilida; Mytilidae. The record is from RNAcentral.
UUUCCCAGGUAUGUUUUCUGUUAAGACCUUUGUGUAUGUCUAAUUGCGCCUUUUCUUUUUUUCUAGCAGGGCGCGACGCAGAUUGAGGAUUUUCCAGGUAUGUUUUCUGUUAAGACCUUUGUGUAUGUCUAAUUGCGCCUUUUCUUUUUUUCUAGCAGGGCGCGACGCAGAUUGAGGAUUCCCAGGUAUGUUUUCUGUUAAGACCUUUGUGUAUGUCUAAUGGUUCCUUUUUUUUUCCUUUAGGUCGUGUGGACUUUUUUUUUUUUUUGCAGGGCGCGACGCAGAUUGAGGAUUCCCAGGUAUGUUUUCUGUUAAGACCUUUGUGUAUGUCUAAUUGCGCCUUUUCUUUUUUUCUAGCAGGGCGCGACGCAGAUUGAGGAUUCCCAGGUAUGUUUUCUGUUAAGACCUUUGUGUAUGUCUAAUGUUGUCUUUUCUUUUAUUCUGGCAGGGCGCGACGCAGAUUGGAGAUUUGCCAGGUAUGUUUUCUGUUAAGGCCUUUGUGUAUGUCUAAUGGUUCCUUUUUUUUCCUUUAGGUCGUGGCCUAGCAGCGCGACGCAGAUUGAAGAUUCAGGUAUGUUUUCUGUUAAGGCCUUUGUGUAUGUCUAAUGUCGCCUUUUCUUUUUUUCUAGCAGGGCGCGACGCAGAUUGAGGAUUCUCAGGUAUGUUUUCUGUUAAGACCUUUGUGUAUGUCUAAUUUCGCCUUUUCUUUUUUUCUAGCAGGGCGCGACGCAGAUUGAGGAUUCCCAGGUAUGUUUUCUGUUAAGACCUUUGUGUAUGUCUAAUUUCGCCUUUUCUUUUUUUCUAGCAGGGCGCGACGCAGAUUGAGGAUUCCCAGGUAUGUUUUCUGUUAAGACCUUUGUGUAUGUCUAAUUGCGCCUUUUCUUUUUUUCUAGCAGGGCGCGACGCAGAUUGAGGAUUCCCAGGUAUGUUUUCUGUUAAGACCUUUGUGUAUGUCUAAUUGCGCCUUUUCUUUUUUUCUAGCAGGGCGCGACGCAGAUUGAGGAUUCCCAGGUAUGUUUUCUGUUAAGACCUUUGUGUAUGUCUAAUUGCGCCUUUUCUUUUUUUCUAGCAGGGCGCGACGCAGAUUGAGGAUUCCCAGGUAUGUUUUCUGUUAAGACCUUUGUGUAUGUCUAAUUGCGCCUUUUUUUUUUUCUAGCAGGGCGCGACGCAGAUUGAGGAUUCCCAGGUAUGUUUUCUGUUAAGACCUUUGUGUAUGUCUAAUUGCGCCUUUUUCUUUUUUCUAGCAGGGCGCGACGCAGAUUGAAGAUUCGAAGGUAUGUUUUCUGUUAAAGCCUUUGUGUAUGUCUAAUGUCGCCUUUUCUUUUUUUCUAGCAGGGGGCGACGCAGAUUGAGGAUUUUCAGGUAUGUUUUCUGUUAAGACCUUUGUGUAUGUCUAAUUUCGCCUUUUCUUUUUUUCUAGCAGGGUGCGACGCAGAUUGAGGAUUCCCAGGUAUGUUUUCCGUUAAGACCUUUGUGUAUGUCUAAUUUCGCCUUUUCUUUUUUUCUAGCAGGGCGCGACGCAGAUUGAGGAUUCCCAGGUAUGUUUUCUGUUAAGACCUUUGUGUAUGUCUAAUGUCACCUUUUCUUUUUUUUUCCAGCAGGACGCGACGCAGAUUGAGGAUUCUCAGGUAUGUUUUCUGUUAAGACCUUUGUGUAUGUCUAAUUUCGCCUUUUCUUUUUUUCUAGCAGGGCGCGACGCAGAUUGAGGAUUCUCAGGUAUGUUUUCUGUUAAGACCUUUGUGUAUGUCUAAUUGCGCCUUUUCUUUUUUUCUAGCAGGGCGCGACGCAGAUUGAGGAUUCCCAGGUAUGUUUUCUGUUAAGACCUUUGUGUAUGUCUAAUUUCGCCUUUUCUUUUUUUUCAAGCAGGGCGCGACGCAGAUUGAGAUUUGAAGGUAUGUUUUCUGUUAAGGCCUUUGUGUAUGUCUAAUGUUGCCUUUUCUUUUUUUCUAGCAGGGCGCGACGCAGAUUGAGUAUUUUCAGGUAUGUUUUCUGUUAAGACCUUUGUGUAUGUCUAAUUGUUGCUUUUCUUUUUUUUCUAGCAGGGCGCGACGCAGAUUGAGGAUUCCAGGUAUGUUUUCUGUUAAGACCUUUGUGUAUGUCUAAUGUUGCUUUUUCUUUUUUUUCUAGCAGGGCGCGACGCAGAGAUUGAGGAUUUUCCAGGUAUGUUUUCUGUUAAGACCUUUGUGUAUGUCUAAUGUUGCCUUUUUCUUUUUUUCUAGCAGGUCGCGACGCAGAUUGAGGAAUUCCAGGUAUGUUUUCUGUUAAGACCUUUGUGUAUGUCUAAAGUUGCCUUUUCUUUUUUUCUAGCAGGUUGCGACGCAGAUUGAGGAAUUCCAGGUAUGUUUUCUGUUAAGACCUUUGUGUAUGUCUAAUGUUGUCUUUUCUUUUUUACUGGCAGGGCGCGACGCAGAUUGAGGAUUCCAGGUAUGUUUUCUGUUAAGACCUUUGUGUAUGUCUAAUGUUGCUUUUCUUUUUUUCUAGCAGGGCGUGACGCAGAUUGAGGAUUUUCAGGUAUGUUUUCUGUUAAGACCUUUGUGUAUGUCUAAUGUUGCCUUUUCUUUUUUUCUAGCAGGGCG